GUCUUCAUUGCCCCUCCUCCGAUGUACGAAGGACAAGGUCAAGAUCUUUUCAGUCUGUAUGGUCUUCUUGCCCAGUGAACUAGGUGACAAGCUGGUGAUUCAGGGGUCGUCAAAUUCUUGGUUCAUCGGAUGUUACCAAAAUGAACUUAGUCUUGGCUAAUAAAUGCAGUGUGACCCACAUAAAAGAAAAUAUAAAGUUGAGAACCAGUACCACCAACUCUGAAGCCCUUGGAAUUUUCUGGGAGUUCUCUUCAUCCUUCUCACACAAGCCUCCGUCUGCCUCCUCAUCCUCUGCUAGGCUCCUUCUUCUGUCUCAAUCUGGCAACUACAAGGCUUGUAGUUCUGUGAGGUGCAGCCCAACAAUUGACGAGCCAGCCAGGAGGCCAAAGAGACCCCCAUGAGCACCAAGACGUCAGGAAAUAAGAACGGGGAAUGGAAAGUUGCAGGGGGAACCCCGGUUUGGCUGUCCACUAGUAAGUGGGGCCCUGUGGUGGCUGUCCUUGAGGAAGGGGUGUCGGCAAGAGAGUCCAGAGGGUCAUGGCCCAUCCAAAUUGGGCUCCCAAGGUGUGGGACCUACUGAGAGCACUGAAGAAGGGGAAGAUUGGGAUGAGGUCAUAAAGGUCCUUAUCCCACAGAAUAGAGAUGAAGAGCGGCUCCCUUCAGAGCAGAGGCAGCUGACUACCAUGAGAGAUGUCUUUCUCUUCCACCAUAUUGAUGAUAUCCUGUUAACCUCAGAGUUUCUUUCUAGUAUUAAAAGCAGCCCUGCACUUGUGGCUUGUCUGAUUGCACGGGGCUGGCUGGUGAAUACAGACAAAAUGCAAGGACCUGGAUUAUCUAUCAAAUACUUGGGUGUUAUCUGGUCAGGUAAGACAAGCAUAACCUAAACCAUUACAGACACAGGCAUUAGGGAUAUUAACGCAGGGCCAGGCUUGUGAAUUGGAUGUGGUCAGUUAACCAGAAAGGUUUGGUUUGGGCCUGUGGCAAUGGCAAAGUGAUGAAAGAGUACCCUUGGGCUUCUGCUCUGAGCUGUGGGAGGAGGAAGAGUAAGGAUUGCGUGAUCGAGCGGCAGCUGCAUGUGGGCUACAGUGUUACAACAGGUGGAAGACAUUACAAAAGGCCCACCCAAGUCAUCCAGCAACUCAAUAAAACCACUAGCUGGGGAUCUAUAACAGCUGUGCGUGAUGUAUGGGCUCCCCAUGUACUUCAAUAGCCACCAAGGAACCCACUUUACCAGCCAGGAGGUUCAGGCAUGGAAUGGUAAAAGUGACACACUGGCCUUUCCACCUGCCCAAAACCCCCCUGCUGCCGGGCUAGCAGAAAGGGUGAGUGGGCUACUUAAACAACCAUUGAGAUGGAAACCUGCUCUCUCCACGUGUGGACGGGGAAGCUAACUCAAACCUUGUGAGCUAUAACUGAAGAAGCCAGUGGCUAUGCCAUGUUAACCCAGAGGCAACUAGGCAAUGGUCAACUAUCGGUCAGGACAAUGAUUCACUUUCACCCUUGCUGCAGGAUAUACACCACUCCCCAUCCCUCCCACAGCCCCCCACCGGGGGAACACACUAUAAAAUGGCCCUGGGAUUGGCAGGUAAAGCCCCGGUGGUUUGGGUUUGCUGAAUAGGGUUAGAAAGGGACUUACAGAUCUCACCUGGCUUCUACCUGGCUACACCCAAAACUACUAUAGUAAUCUGGGCCCCUUACUGGAGAGAGGUACCGUCAUAUUAACACUGUGGUCUGUUUACAUAUGUGGUCUCCAAUCCUCGGCCCUGGCUGUGGAGACUGAGGGUGGACAGGUGGUGUGGCUCUGCAGGCCAGGACAAAACCACAGGCAGGGGUGGUAUUUUCUCAGAAUGCUGUUACUGCUUGUAAUUGGCUUAAUGGUCAUGAUCUCCCCUGUAUUGUGCCUGUCCAGCAACUCACAUUUCAUCCCUAGUCUGUCUGAGGACAAGGUGACAACUGUGGUCUCACUGCAAAGUGAGUCUGAUUGCUGGAUGAGCAGUAAGAUGCCAUGAAAAAUCGACCCAGCUAAUGUGACUACGUGGGGACGACUGAAGACUCUCCUCUUUCCUGUCCCGCAUGCCAGGCGCCUGGCUCCAGAAUUUUCCCACCUCUUGGAGAAUCACUAUUUUU
Globicephala melas (long-finned pilot whale) is the source of this 2127-nucleotide long non-coding RNA. RefSeq lists it as uncharacterized. The record is from RefSeq and is a predicted model, not a curated record. Lineage: Eukaryota; Metazoa; Chordata; Mammalia; Artiodactyla; Delphinidae.